Molecule: ribosomal RNA, 261 nt
Filed under: Shigella dysenteriae
Lineage: Bacteria; Pseudomonadati; Pseudomonadota; Gammaproteobacteria; Enterobacterales; Enterobacteriaceae
Description: partial 23S ribosomal RNA
Rfam family: Bacterial large subunit ribosomal RNA
Source: RNAcentral
GACCGGAGUGGACGCAUCACUGGUGUUCGGGUUGUCAUGCCAAUGGCACUGCCCGGUAGCUAAAUGCGGAAGAGAUAAGUGCUGAAAGCAUCUAAGCACGAAACUUGCCCCGAGAUGAGUUCUCCCUGACUCCUUGAGAGUCCUGAAGGAACGUUGAAGACGACGACGUUGAUAGGUCGGGUGUGUAAGCGCAGCGAUGCGUUGAGCUAACCGGUACUAAUGAACCGUGAGGCUUAACCUUACAACGCCGAAGGGGUUUUG